GAGUUUGAUCGUGGCUCAGAUUGAACGCUGGCGGCAUGCCUUACACAUGCAAGUCGAACGGUAACAGGUCUUCGGAUGCUGACGAGUGGCGAACGGGUGAGUAAUACAUCGGAACGUGCCCAGACGUGGGGGAUAACGAGGCGAAAGCUUUGCUAAUACCGCAUACGAUCUAAGGAUGAAAGCAGGGACCGCAAGGCCUUGCGCGUUUGGAGCGGCCGAUGGCAGAUUAGGUAGUUGGUGGGAUAAAAGCUUACCAAGCCGACGAUCUGUAGCUGGUCUGAGAGGACGACCAGCCACACUGGGACUGAGACACGGCCCAGACUCCUACGGGAGGCAGCAGUGGGGAAUUUUGGACAAUGGGCGAAAGCCUGAUCCAGCAAUGCCGCGUGCAGGAUGAAGGCC
This 402-nucleotide ribosomal RNA is filed under the name uncultured microorganism. RNAcentral's name for it is "bacterial SSU rRNA". It matches the Rfam family "Bacterial small subunit ribosomal RNA", at positions 9 to 416 of the family's 1533-position model. The record is from RNAcentral.